CGUGUAGCCGAGGUCCGUAUACUGAAACGAACAAUCGUUUGCCUCGUUAUUGGUAUCAUUUCCAACACGCUCGAAUGACUUGGUAACGCGACACCGCGACACGGUGCAGCGGAUCGAUAAAAAUAAUCGUGCCGCAAGCAAAACUUGCACGGCCAUGGAUUUUUCAGUGGAAAUCCAGCCGGUUCUUCUGCUGGCUUCGCGUGUUUAAUUCGACGACUUGUUAGACCAACUGUGAAACCGAGCAACAAUUUUUAGCGGGCAUUCUACGUUUUAUAAAUAGGAGAAAAGGAAACACCGCGGAAAAUAGCGAAAUAGACGGAAAAAUAUAAUAUUAUUCGCGCAAACGAGAACAGACGAUCCGUGAUUGAAAUUCAAGAUUAAUGUAGACCAUUUCGUUUCAUAAAGCGAAAAACACGACGGCUCUGCCAGGUUGUGUUUAUGCAUGUGACUUCUCAAGAUUAUAACAUGUUUUAUAUAAUUUAUUGACACAAAUGACGACUAUCGCCGUCAUACAUAUUUAG
Molecule: long non-coding RNA, 521 nt
Organism: Frieseomelitta varia
Lineage: Eukaryota; Metazoa; Arthropoda; Insecta; Hymenoptera; Apidae
Exons: 3
Source: RefSeq, a predicted model, not a curated record